RNAcentral lists this ribosomal RNA (1162 nucleotides) under Brachycallimerus latesignatus. Its description in RNAcentral is "eukaryotic LSU rRNA". It matches the Rfam family "Eukaryotic large subunit ribosomal RNA", at positions 51 to 953 of the family's 3401-position model. The record is from RNAcentral. Lineage: Eukaryota; Metazoa; Arthropoda; Insecta; Coleoptera; Cleridae.
CGGAGGAAAGAACUAACUAGGAUUCCCUCAGUAGCUGCGAGCGAACAGGGAAGAGCCCAGCACCGAAUCCCGCGGCCGAGACCGGACGCAGGGAAAUGUGGUGUUAGGGAGUGGCAACAUGCCUCGCGUUCCGGCGGUGCGUCCAAGUCCUUCUUGAACGGGGCCACAGCCCAUAGAGGGUGCCAGGCCCGUAGCGACCGUUGCCGAACGCGAGGUGACCUCUCCUAAGAGUCGGGUUGCUUGAGAGUGCAGCCCUAAGUGGGUGGUAAACUCCAUCUAAGGCUAAAUAUGACCACGAGACCGAUAGCGAACAAGUACCGUGAGGGAAAGUUGAAAAGAACUUUGAAGAGAGAGUUCAAUAGUACGUGAAACCGUUCAGGGGUAAACCUGAGAAACCCGAAAGGUCGAAAGGGGAGAUUCAUUCGCGUCUCGACGGCUAAGCCGGACGCUUGCGUGACGGACGGCCGCGUGUCGUUUGCGCCUUGCGUUCGUGCUAGAUGUCGUCGAACGCGUGCACUUCUCCCCCAGUAGGACGUCGCGAUCCGUUGGGUGUCGGUCUAAGGCCCGUGGUGGAGCCCGGCUGGACGGUUCGCCGUUUCCUGUCGGACCCGCGGUGUCCCGGCCGACCCGCUCGACGGUAUACAGAUGGCGCGGGGCCGCGACUCAGUUCGCGUCCGGCCCGUAGCAAGCGCUUCGUACGCGUCGGCAAUCGGACCCUAGUGCCGGUUUCGACCUACGCAGGCUGUUGGCUGCGGUGUUCUCGGACAGACCUCGUUGAAACGUCCGAUCUGCGACGCUAUAGCUUUGGGUACUUUCAGGACCCGUCUUGAAACACGGACCAAGGAGUCUAGCAUGUGCGCGAGUCAUUGGGAAUAACUAAACCUAAAGGCGCAAUGAAAGUAAAGGUCAGCCCAGCGCUGGCCGAGGGAAGAUGGGCGGUCACGGUUUCCGUGCCGCUCCGCACUCCCGGGGCGUCUCGUUCUCAUUGCGAGAAGAGGCGCACCAAGAGCGUACACGCUGGGACCCGAAAGAUGGUGAACUAUGCCUGGUCAGGACGAAGUCAGGGGAAACCCUGAUGGAGGUCCGUAGCGAUUCUGACGUGCAAAUCGAUCGUCGGAACUGGGUAUAGGGGCGAAAGACUAAUCGAACCAUCUAGUAGCUG